This 439-nucleotide ribosomal RNA is filed under the name uncultured bacterium. RNAcentral's name for it is "partial 16S ribosomal RNA". It matches the Rfam family "Bacterial small subunit ribosomal RNA", at positions 339 to 795 of the family's 1533-position model. The record is from RNAcentral.
CUACGGGUUGCUCCAGUGGGGAAUAUUGCACAAUGGGCGCAAGCCUGAUGCAGCAACGCCGCGUGAGUGAUGAAGGCUUUCGAGUCGUAAAACUCUUUUCUUGAGGAAGAAACUUGACGGUACUCAAGGAAUAAGCCCCGGCUAAUUACGUGCCAGCAGCCGCGGUAAUACGUAAGGGGCAAGCGUUAUCCGGAAUCACUGGGCGUAAAGGGUGCGUAGGUGGUCUUGUAAGUCAGAAGUGAAAGGCUACGGCUUAACCGUAGUAAGCUUUUGAAACUGCAGGACUGGAGUGCAGGAGAGGAAAGUGGAAUUCCUAGUGUAGCGGUGAAAUGCGUAGAUAUUAGGAGGAACACCAGUGGCGAAGGCGACUUUCUGGACUGUAACUGACACUGAGGCACGAAAGCGUGGGGAGCGAACAGGAUUAGAUACCCUCGUAGUC